UCCAGACUCCUACGGGAGGCAGCAGUGAGGAAUAUUGGUCAAUGGGCGGAAGCCUGAACCAGCCAAGUCGCGUGAGGGAAUAAGGCCCUACGGGUCGUAAACCUCUUUUGCCGGGGAGCAAGGGCGGGGACGUGUCCCGGCCCGGAGAGUACCCGGAGAAAAAGCAUCGGCUAACUCCGUGCCAGCAGCCGCGGUAAUACGGAGGGCGCGAGCGUUAAUCGGAAUUACUGGGCGUAAAGCGCGCGUAGGCUGGUGUGUAAGUUGGGGGUGAAAUCCCACGGCUCAACCGUGGAACAGCCCUUGAUACUGCGCGACUUGAAUCCGGGAGAGGGUGGCGGAAUUCCAGGUGUAGGAGUGAAAUCCGUAGAUAUCUGGAGGAACAUCAGUGGCGAAGGCGGCCACCUGGACCGGUAUUGACGCUGAGGCGCGAAAGCGUGGGGAGCAAACAGGAUUAGAUACCCCAGUACAC
Molecule: ribosomal RNA, 469 nt
Filed under: uncultured bacterium
Lineage: Bacteria
Description: bacterial SSU rRNA
Rfam family: Bacterial small subunit ribosomal RNA
Source: RNAcentral